This 470-nucleotide RNase P RNA is filed under the name Bacteroidaceae bacterium. RNAcentral describes it as "RNase P RNA component class A". It matches the Rfam family "Bacterial RNase P class A". From Rfam's summary of the family: Ribonuclease P (RNase P) is a ubiquitous endoribonuclease, found in archaea, bacteria and eukarya as well as chloroplasts and mitochondria. Lineage: Bacteria; Pseudomonadati; Bacteroidota; Bacteroidia; Bacteroidales; Bacteroidaceae. The record is from RNAcentral.
GCAGUCGGACGGUCUGUCGCUGACGGCUCGCAAGAGCCGACAAGAGGAAAGUCCGGGCAGCACAGGGCAUCCCACUUCCUAAUGUAGAAGCAAUCCGCGAGGGUUGAGUAAUGCAGAAGAAAAUAACAACAGACACGAUUUGGGAAGGAUGUAAAUACACAUUAUUUAACAUCUUUACGGAAUCGCAACUGAAAUGGUGAGAAGGUGGAGUAAAAGCCCACCAGCGGCAUGGUGACAUGUCGGCUGUGCAUCUUGGGAGCUGCAAGUUCAUGUAAACCACCGCCACAAGGGUAGCCCGCCCGAUAGUUCGGUGGAGGGUAGAACGCUUGAGCCAUGAGGUGACUCAUGGAGUAGAUAAAUGACAGACACCACCAUUAGAAUGGGUGCAAAUUUAUCAUGUGGAUUACACAUUACAUUGACAUUCUUUUUAAUGGUGCGUACAAAACCCGGCUUAUAGUCCGACUGCUUUC